RNAcentral lists this long non-coding RNA (3661 nucleotides) under Salmo salar (Atlantic salmon). Its description in RNAcentral is "lncRNA (ENSSSAG00000120863.1)". Lineage: Eukaryota; Metazoa; Chordata; Actinopteri; Salmoniformes; Salmonidae. The record is from RNAcentral.
GAUUUCUUAAUAUGAACUGUAACCAGUAAAAUCUUUGAUAUUAUUGUAUGUUGCAUUCAUAUUUUCAUUCAGUUUAUAUGAUAUAAUGACAUUAACUGUACUGUAGUAUCUCUCAUGUGCAUCCAUUAAAACCCAUAAUUGUCAUAUAAAGCAGAGAUAAUGUGUGCAGGAUUAUAAUACAGUAUAGAUACAAAAUGCUCAGUUCACUCAAGUAACACGUUGCGUUCUAAACAGUAAUCUCACAUUGCACACAAUGACAUUACAGAUCCCAAUGACUGAUUAGUGUUGCAAAAUCGGAUGGAAAUGAACACAAACAUGACUUGACAUGACUUGCAGAUGAUAUCUCGAGCAGAACUUCUCAACAUCUCUGUUUAUAAGGCCUUACAUUUUGACUGAGAAGACACCUGAACUUUCUGAAUACUUUUUUAGGAAGGCAGAGGUCAUCUUCUCUUUGCUGACUUUGAACUGCAGUGAGACCACCAGAGCACCACCAUUGUCCAGGUCAUCAUGGGAGUCAUGACUGUGUCUGUUCUUUUCUGCGUCCUCCUCACCUUCCUGGGGACCGAGGUGACUGGGAGGUCUCCCCCAUGGUAUCCCAAAUUACCCCCACCAGUGGAGAGAUUUGCAAGAAGAUCUGAACCAAUACCAGAUCCGUACCAGUGUCCAUCUGGGUUUUCUCGACCCAACCGUUACUGGAGCACUUGCUACCGUUUCGACAGCAGUUUGAAGUCAAUGUCGGCGGGAAAGAAUGCAUGCCGUCAAAGAGGUGGAUCCCUUGCUUCUAUCACCAACAGUAACGUGUACGAGUAUGCUCUUUCCCUGGUAGAAGAUGGAUAUAUCUGGGUUAAGGGGAGCCAUGCGUCUGAAUUUCCCCAGAAGAACUGGUUGAAAGGCUCUGUGCGUGACCAGAAUGGAAAGCAUGAGGGCUGCUUGACAUUGGUGAAAUUUGGUGAAAAAACUGGUUUUGAUGAUAUCAGCUGUUCCAGUAUGGACAACACCGCAUUCACUCUCUGCGAGAUAGAAACGUCUUAAUUCUUAGUUUAAGAAGGCCAAACAGAGAGUGGAUUUUGCCAAUACUCUCUGAUUUUCUUUUUCUACUAUCUCACUAAAUUGUUCUGAAUUUACUUUAAGUCUAAUACUUAGAGACAAUAUAAUGAAAAGGGAUGUAAUGGCUACAUAUUCAUACAUAAUGAUACAUUGAUUCAAUUGCAUUUCACGUGGCCUUUUUUCGACUGAAAAUAAUAGUCUGGUUUUGCAAUGGAAUUGUCACUGUAGUAUUCUGGAAGCUAUCUUUAAGAUACUGUACCAAACAUGUGGGUACGUACAAUCCCAUUUCAAGAUGAACUAUAUAAUUACGAACACAUACAGUUAUUCUCAAUACUUACUCUAACAGUGGAAAUAGGCUAUACCCCAUUAUAUCUGGAAUAUCUAUUGAAUUUGUGGAAUUGUUGUGUCAUGUACAUCCCUCCUUGCUUACCUUGCAUAUCUUUUCGAAUAAAAACAUUCAGCAUCACCCUGUCUCAGCAUGAUCAACUUAUAUCACUGUAAAAUAAACAACAUCAGUCAAUAGGGUCAUCUCAACCAGCAGCACUUAGAUAAAUAAUGAUAUCUCGGGCAGAACUUCUCCAAACCUCUGUUUAUAAGGCCCUACAUUUUGAAUGAGAAGACACCUGAACUUUCUGAAGACUAUUUUAGGAAGGCAGAGGUCAUCUUCUCUCUGCUGACUUCGAACUGCAGUGAGACCACCAGAGCACCACCAUUGUCCAGGUCAUCAUGGGAGUUAUGACUGUAUAUGUUCUUCUCUGCGUCCUCUUCACCUUCCUGGGGACUGAGGGAGGUCUCCACCAGGGUAUCUGCGAUUAGCUGCACCAGUGGAGAGAUUUGCCAGAAGGCCCCCACCAUGGCCAAAUCAGAACCCAUGUCCUCCAGGGUUUUCUCGACCCAACCGUUACUUGCGAACAUGCUAGCUUUUCGACAACAGCUAUUCCUUAUUCCUGGAUCUGGAUUUCCCCAGAAGAACUGGAUGAGAGGUUCUCAGCGUAACAUGAAUGGACAGAGUGAGGACUGCUUGGCACUGCUGAAAAUCAAUGGUGAAGCAGGCUUUGAUGACAUGAGCUGUUCCGGAAUCGUCACCUCUGCCAAAACUCUCUGCAAGAUUCAUACUUCAAUGGACUGACUUUCGUAGGAGUCCAAACAGAGAGUGGAAAAGGGGUUUUGCCAACUCUCUGAUUUUCUUUUUCUAGUAUCGCACAAAAUUGUUCUGAGUUUGAUUUAAGUUGAGUACAAUAUAAUGAAAGGUGACGCAAUGGCUACAGAUACAUACACAAUGAUACAUUGAUUCAAUUGUAUUUUUGAAAGCAGAGUAAACACUUGAGUAAACAAGGGAUACAAAGAAUAUUUGAAAGCACGUGCUUCCACACAGGUGUGGUUCCUGAGUUAAUUAAGCAAUUAACAUCCCAUCAUGGUUAGGGUCAUGUAUAAAAUGCUGGGCAGGCCAUUAUUUUGGCUACCAUGGUUAUGCCCCCAUAGAAUCCACAGGGCACGAAUGGUCACUGAAUCGUUUGAUGAACAUGAAAUCGAUAUAAACCAUAUGUCAUGGCCGUCUCAGUCAAUAGAUCUCAACGCAACUGAACACUUAUUGGAGAUUUGGGAGCGUUGCCUGAGUCAGCAUUUUCCACCACCAUCAACAAAACACAAACUGAUGUAAAUUCUCGUGGAAGAAUGAUUUCGCAUCCCUCCAAUAGAGUUCCAGACACUUGUAGAAUCUAUGCCAAGGUGCAUUGAAGCUCAUGAUUGCUCGUGGUGGUCCAACACCCUGUUAAGAUACUUUAUGUAGGUGUUUCCUUUACUUGGACAGUUACCUUUCAAUACAUAAUGAUACUUUGAUUCAAUUAUAUUUUGGGUGGUCUUUUUUUUAUUGAAAAUUAUUGUCAGGUUUUGCAAUGGAAUUGUCCCUAUACAGAUGUGGCAUCUGAAUUUGAUCAUUAUUUUCUUGCUGAGGAAAUGCAACUUGUUGUGCAUACAAGGUUUUUAAAGGCUUUUAAAAUUUGCAAUUUCCAUUUUAAAAUGUCAGACUUGAUUAGCCCUAAAAAAUAUGUAUCAACCCCUACAAAAAAUGGCCAUGAAUUAUAAUCCACAUAAUAAUUCACAUUUCCUGUUGCUUCAGGAUCAUUUUCUGUAACAUACUGUAACAUACUGGCUCAAAUUAAGAUCUUACAUCAGUGUCACGUUCUGACCAGUAAAGGGGUUAUUUGUUAUUGUAGUUUGGUCAGGAUGUGGCAGGGGGUAUUUGUUUUAUGUGGUUCGGGGUGUGUGUUUAUGUAGAGGGGUGUUUGGUUAGUGUUUUCCGGGUUUUUGGGGCUAUGUUCUAGUCUAGUCUUUUUAGUUCUAUGUUUAGUUAAUUGAUUUGGCCUUCAAUUGGAGGCAGCUGCUCCACAUUGCCUCUGAUUGAAGGUCCUAUAUAGAGGGGUGUGUUUUGUAUGGGUUUUGUGGGAAGUUGUGAUUGCAUAGCUGUGUUUAGCCUGUAAUCCUGUUCGUUCGUACGUUUUGUUUUCUUAAGUGUUCAAAAUAAAUAUAUAAUGAGCACUCAACUCGUUGCGCUUUGGUCCACUUACUAUGACGACCGUUACAAUCAGAAUUCUGGAAGUGAUCGUUAAGAUUC